Myotis myotis is the source of this 420-nucleotide long non-coding RNA. RefSeq lists it as uncharacterized. The transcript is spliced from 2 exons. The record is from RefSeq and is a predicted model, not a curated record. Lineage: Eukaryota; Metazoa; Chordata; Mammalia; Chiroptera; Vespertilionidae.
CCGGGAGGGUCCCCGCGGCCUGUAGGGGGCAGUGCCGCGCCCCGGACGAGGAGGGGUGGGUCUGGGCUACCCGGGCCACACCGCGGCUGUCACUGCCCGCCCGCCCUGCCCGCCGCGCGCUUCCCGUCGGCGCUUCAGGCCCCACGGGACCCGGGGGGACGUGGCGGGGCCGGCGCGCGACGGCCGUUGGGGAGUUGGGAUCCGGGAGACCCGCGUCGCCUCUCGCUCGCGCGGGGCGGCGAGACCUCAGGCGGCGCGUCCGCGUGGCCAGGGCGCCUCGGGUCGCCCGCGGCUUCCCCUGGCAUCGAGCCCGAGGAAUCCGGCGACCAUUCCGCCGCCACGACUUCCAUCGCGCGCGAGGCGAGCUCCAAACAAACAUCACAUCUAAAUUAAAAAAAAAAAAAAAAAAAAAAAAAAAAG